Molecule: non-coding RNA, 544 nt
Organism: Ictidomys tridecemlineatus (thirteen-lined ground squirrel)
Lineage: Eukaryota; Metazoa; Chordata; Mammalia; Rodentia; Sciuridae
Source: RefSeq, a predicted model, not a curated record
UUUCUUGCAGAAGGGUCUUGCAAAGUUGCUUAGGGCUUCACUAUGUUGCUGAGUGAAUGGUGGCACCUAAGUGUAUCAUUAGUGUGCUGAAACUUAUCUCUUAGGGGGAGGAGCCUUCGACCAUGAGGGUAGAAUCCACACCCCAGGAUAUGGAUGUGGCUAUAUAAAGGAGUCCCAAAGUGAUUCUCUCUUUUGUGAGGAGCCUGCAGGAAGGUGUCUUAAGCAAUUUGGAAGCAGUCUUCAAUCUCCAACUUCUACCCCUGCAAAACGACAGUGUCUCCCUCAGUUGCUGAGGCUGGCUUCAAACUUUGGUUCCUCCUUCCUCCGUUUGCAGAGUUACUAGAAAGUACAGGAGCAGUUUUUGGAGAUGCCGGCUUGACCACCUCAGUGGACAGUCAGGAUAACAGGUACCAAGGACUCGAACCCAGUGAUGCUUAACUACCGAGUCACCUAGCCAACACUUUUUAAUAUUUUACUUAGAGAUGGGAGUCUUAUUAAAUUGCUUAGGACCUCUAUAAGUUGCUGAGGCUGGCAUUGAACUCAU